Molecule: ribosomal RNA, 233 nt
Filed under: uncultured bacterium
Lineage: Bacteria
Description: partial 16S ribosomal RNA
Rfam family: Bacterial small subunit ribosomal RNA
Source: RNAcentral
CUGCAGUGAGUGGCGAACGGGUGAGUAACGCGUAGGAACCCGCCUCGACGUGGGGGAUAACACUUGGAAACAGGUGCUAAUACCGCAUGUGGUCGUAAGAAGAAAGGCGAAAGCCGCGUUGAGAGGGGCCUGCGUCCGAUUAGCUUGUUGGUGGGGUAAUGGCCUACCAAGGCGACGAUCGGUAGCCGGUCUGAGAGGAUGGUCAGCCACACUGGAACUGAGACACGGUCCAG